UACGGGGGGGGCAAGCGUUGUUCGGAAUUACUGGGCGUAAAGGGCUCGUAGGCGGCCAACUAAGUCAGACGUGAAAUCCCUCGGCUUAACCGGGGAACUGCAUCUGAUACUGGAUGGCUUGAGUUCGGGAGAGGGAUGCGGAAUUCCAGGUGUAGCGGUGGAAUGCGCAGAUAUCAGGAAGAACACCAACGGCGAAGGCAGCUCGCUGGGACGGUACUGACGCUGAGACGCGAAAGCGUGGGGAGCGAACAGG
This 253-nucleotide ribosomal RNA is filed under the name uncultured bacterium. Its description in RNAcentral is "partial 16S ribosomal RNA". It matches the Rfam family "Bacterial small subunit ribosomal RNA", at positions 524 to 776 of the family's 1533-position model. The record is from RNAcentral.